Molecule: ribosomal RNA, 1466 nt
Filed under: uncultured bacterium
Lineage: Bacteria
Description: bacterial SSU rRNA
Rfam family: Bacterial small subunit ribosomal RNA
Source: RNAcentral
GACGAACGCUGGCGGCGUGCUUAACACAUGCAAGUCGAACGAGAAUCUGCGGAAAGAGGAUUCGUCCAAUUGAAGCAGAGGACAGUGGCGGACGGGUGAGUAACGCGUGAGGAACCUGCCUUUCAGAGGGGGACAACAGUUGGAAACGACUGCUAAUACCGCAUAACGCAUAAGAGUCGCAUGGCUCGUAUGCCAAAGAUUUAUCGCUGAAAGAUGGCCUCGCGUCUGAUUAGCUGGUUGGCGGGGUAACGGCCCACCAAGGCGACGAUCAGUAGCCGGACUGAGAGGUUGAACGGCCACAUUGGGACUGAGAUACGGCCCAGACUCCUACGGGAGGCAGCAGUGGGGAAUAUUGGGCAAUGGGGGCAACCCUGACCGAGCAACGCCGCGUGAGUGAAGAAGGUUUUCGGAUCGUAAAGCUCUGUUGUAAGAGAAGAACGUGUGUGAGAGUGGAAAGUUCACACAGUGACGGUAACUUACCAGAAAGGGACGGCUAACUACGUGCCAGCAGCCGCGGUAAUACGGAGGAUGCAAGCGUUAUCCGGAUUUAUUGGGUUUAAAGGGUGCGUAGGCUGUUCGACAAGUCAGCGGUGAAAGCCCGGCGCUUAACGCCGGAACUGCCAUUGAUACUGUCGAGCUGGAAUACGGAUGCCGUGGGAGGAAUGAGUAGUGUAGCGGUGAAAUGCAUAGAUAUUACUCAGAACACCGAUUGCGAAGGCAUCUCACGAAUCCGUCAUUGACGCUGAGGCACGAAAGCGUGGGGAUCAAACAGGAUUAGAUACCCUGGUAGUCCACGCAGUAAACGAUGAUAACUAACCGUCGGCGAUACACAGUCGGUGGCCAAGCGAAAGCGAUAAGUUAUCCACCUGGGGAGUACGUUCGCAAGAAUGAAACUCAAAGGAAUUGACGGGGGCCCGCACAAGCGGAGGAACAUGUGGUUUAAUUCGAUGAUACGCGAGGAACCUUACCCGGGCUCGAACGGCAGUUGAACGAUGCAGAGAUGCAAAGGUCCUACGGGACGACUGUCGAGGUGCUGCAUGGUUGUCGUCAGCUCGUGUCGUGAGAUGUUGGCUUAAGUGCCAUAACGAGCGCAACCCUUGUCGAUAGUUACCAACAGGCAAAGCUGGGGACUCUAUCGAGACUGCCACCGCAAGGUGAGAGGAAGGCGGGGAUGACGUCAAAUCAGCACGGCCCUUACGUCCGGGGCGACACACGUGUUACAAUGGUAGCUACAGAGGGAAGCCACCUGGUGACAGGGAGCAGAUCUCGAAAAGCUAUCUCAGUUCGGAUUGGAGUCUGCAACUCGACUCCAUGAAGCUGGAUUCGCUAGUAAUCGCGCAUCAGCCAUGGCGCGGUGAAUACGUUCCCGGGCCUUGUACACACCGCCCGUCAAGCCAUGAAAGCCGGGGGUGCCUGAAGUUCGUGACCGGAAGGAGCGACCUAGGGCAAAACUGGUAAUUGGGGCU